Molecule: ribosomal RNA, 505 nt
Filed under: Candida tropicalis
Lineage: Eukaryota; Fungi; Ascomycota; Pichiomycetes; Serinales; Debaryomycetaceae
Description: eukaryotic LSU rRNA
Rfam family: Eukaryotic large subunit ribosomal RNA
Source: RNAcentral
UAGCGGCGAGUGAAGCGGCAAAAGCUCAAAUUUGAAAUCUGGCUCUUUCAGAGUCCGAGUUGUAAUUUGAAGAAGGUAUCUUUGGGUCUGGCUCUUGUCUAUGUUUCUUGGAACAGAACGUCACAGAGGGUGAGAAUCCCGUGCGAUGAGAUGAUCCAGGCCUAUGUAAAGUUCCUUCGAAGAGUCGAGUUGUUUGGGAAUGCAGCUCUAAGUGGGUGGUAAAUUCCAUCUAAAGCUAAAUAUUGGCGAGAGACCGAUAGCGAACAAGUACAGUGAUGGAAAGAUGAAAAGAACUUUGAAAAGAGAGUGAAAAAGUACGUGAAAUUGUUGAAAGGGAAGGGCUUGAGAUCAGACUUGGUAUUUUGUAUGUUACUUCUUCGGGGGUGGCCUCUACAGUUUAUCGGGCCAGCAUCAGUUUGGGCGGUAGGAGAAUUGCGUUGGAAUGUGGCACGGCCUCGGUUGUGUGUUAUAGCCUUCGUCGAUACUGCCAGCCUAGAGCUGAGGA